AGAGCCUGGGGUCUUCUUUGAUUCACUUUUCCUCACUCCUUUGGGGUGUGCGCGGGCUUGUGAAGCUGGUUGGUCCCUUCCACGCACGCUUUCCUUGGCUCUCAGUUCAAGUGAGGCUGGGGGCACCCGUGAAUGUUUGGAUACAGCCGCGGACUGAAAAAACCCUAGCGGGUUUUGCUAGCUGGUCUGGGUUCAACACCCUUUGAAAGUUUAAUCAGAAGUGGCCAUUAGACUCGCGUAACCCAUUGGUUCCUUAUAGAAAAUGUAAAAGACCCCCAGAGAGCGGGAACAGAUACUUUAUAAUCUUUAAAUGAAGGAAUCCUUUAGGAGACCGAGAAAACAAGCCUAAUAUGUGAUCAGUGGUGGGUCCGAAGACUUCCCAAAAUAUAGGGGGGCAAUUUUCAGGAUCCCAAGUGCACUUGGGCAAACUUUCCAGUUGCCUCCCUUCUCCCCCUCAGAGAAAGUGCAAAGAAAUGCAGAUUAGCCCGCAGACCACCGGGACAAUGCCCAAUUGCCUACUGCUGCUGUCCCAACCCAAGCACUGCCCUACCUCCAAAGACAUGAAAAUCAAUGCUUCUACAUGACAUUUCUAAUAGCUCAGAAGGGAUCACUAAAAUGGCCAGAACAUGGUGACUGAGCUGGGUAUGUGCUAUGUUAUUGUUUCCAGCAGAUUUUUAAAGGACUAGUUCUCUCCAAAAUACCCCAGAACUUUGGUACCUGCUGGAGAAAUGAAU
Molecule: long non-coding RNA, 734 nt
Filed under: Monodelphis domestica (gray short-tailed opossum)
Lineage: Eukaryota; Metazoa; Chordata; Mammalia; Didelphimorphia; Didelphidae
Description: lncRNA (ENSMODG00000037892.1)
Source: RNAcentral